CCGGAGCGCGGAGGGCCCGCCCCUGCGCGCCUGACCUCCCGCCGCGGGGUCGGGGCUGGGCGUUGCUUCUGCGGCGUAGAACCCUGGUGGUUGGCGGACCCUGAGAGCUGGGGUCAGGUUCUGCGCGUUCUCCGUCUGGCCUCCUGCCGGGUGCCCGGUGUUUCAGGGAUCCUCCUGCGAUUGGCGCCAGAUGUACUGAGCGCAGCAGUUGCUCGACUUAAUCAAAUUGGCCAAUAUUGACCAAGCACCCAAAGGACGAGAUGCUGUAGCCGAGAAUCGGGAAGUCCGGAUUCCGGUCCUGGCUCUUGUCCGUGUUGUGCCCAAGACUGCGAAUCCGAGAAACCACCAAGGAGCCGACUCCGAUGCAAGUACACGAGGGUUUAUUUACAAGCUCGAGCUUGGGUCCAAGGGCACCCGACACAGCGGAGCAGGGGCUUGGACCCCGAGGUUUUGGCCCUACUGUUUCAAAGGUCUCCUUCCUCCUCCACACAAACACUCCUAAGGUAUGAAACUUCUAAGAAGCACCAUUGAAGGAAUAGAAGAGGAUAAGACAUGAAGUGGACUGUAAAGAUCCAUGAAGACGGGAAACUGCCUUGGUCAUAUAUCCACUGUAACACCUACCAUGGUGCCUGACGCAAAGUGAGUGUUCAGUAACUGCUUGAUGAGAUGGGUGGAAUCCAACUGAACCAAGCGAAAUGGAAUUGAAUUGUGAAGCCAAGAAUACGGGCAGCACACCACAUGGCCCGUUCCCUCUCAUUGUCCUUCUGGGAAUUCAGCCAUGUGUCCAGAAGCUAAAGGAAGAACAGAAUGAGGCCAAGCCUAGGAGCAUUGCCAAUGGAAGUUCCAUGAAGACCCAUCCUCCCUCCUCUGUGCAUUUCCACCUCCAUCCUCCUAAGUUGUACUUACCAUCAUGAAGGUUACAAUUUCUAGUUUCUGAGGGAACUUGAAUUGAAAGGCCAUGGGGUGGCUGCUCAGGAUGUUUGUUAGCUUGGUCAGGGCAUCCAGGUACUCCAGUUUCAGGUUCUUAUCCUGAACCAACCAGUAUGCUCAGAGAUUUCCAAGGUAGGAAUGAUCCUGGGGCAAGGGAAAACUACCUACACAAAAAAUCUGGGAGAUGAGAAGCUAAGGCAUCUAUAGCCUCCCCUAGGCUGAGAUCCUGCAUCUUCCCUCUGUGGUGUCUUUAUGGGGGAAGGGGCAUCCCUCUUAAUAACCUGUUUCUGGAGCUCCCAUCUCAUAUUUACUCUUAAAUUAGGAUAGAUAUAGCUAGCUUCCUUAUCUCUCAAGUUAUUGUCUUUUUACUCAGUAAGUUCUCCUGAAAGAUAUCUAGUUGGAUGAUAAAUGAACAGGGAAUGGGAAAGACUUCUUAUCCUACCCUCACGGCACAUGCUCUGGACAAAUGGCAAAGGCAGGAAAGAUAUUUAGGGGCUCCCUCUUACCUCCCCUGAAGUAAUUGUAAUAGCUCCACUCCCUAGUUCCAUUCAAGGCCAGGCAUCAUUUUCUUGGAGGGGAAGGGUAAAGAAGGCAGGGAUGGGACACUGGAGAAGUAAAGAAAGCAUGAAAUACCUUUUCCAUAAUGCAGUUGUGGUAGUGUUGCAGGACCAUGGCCAGGAUGCCAUCUAAAUGUGUGAAGAUGUCUCCCUUGCUCUCUAAAAUAAUCUUGCUGUAGCUUAAGUAGAUGAUGUUACAGACCAGCCCCCAUUCCCUUCGCUGAUGUUCCUGUAGGAGGAAUGGAAAACUUGCCUUCUCUUCAUCUUAUCCUCCUUGCCUGAUGGGGAAAUGGAUUGGCUAGAUGGCACAGAAGGGAAGACAAGGUUGUGGAAUGGUGAACAGCUGGGAGAAAGGUGGUACAGCUGGUGAUACAAGGGCCUGAAGCUUGGGCAUAAGGGAGUGUGGAAAAUGGAGAAGAGGAUGCAAUUUCCCCACAGUUGGUCAGAGGGUAAUAGAAGCAUCUAUAGGUGAGUCACAGGCCUCAGAGAAGUGGGGAGUCUAGGGAAAUGGGGAUGCCUCAGAAGGUUUUGUGUGGGAGGCUGGCAGAGCUCCCAGGAAUGCCAUCACCUUCAUUAGUUUGAGGAUGAAUGAUGAGUCCUUGUCAGUGAGGACAGCACUAUAUACUUGCAGUUGGUCCAGGACUAUCUUCAGAUGUUUCAUGGACACGAUACUGAGCGCCACAGCAAUGCCCUGUAAUGGGGAUAGCUUCAACCUCUUGCCACAGCUAAGGGUUAGACAGGCACUCUUUGUGCUCUCCCAGAACCAGGGAUUUAGAGAGAGGAGGGGAGAGAAAAAAGAAAGAAAAGAAAUGGAAGGAAAAUUUGGUUCCCCUGACUUGAACUACAUAAAUCCAGAUGGAGAACAAACCAUCCUUGCAAGAAGUAAUUCUAGAAGCAAAUUACAAGAAACAGACCCUUAAUUAUAGAGAAAAAAAAUUGAUGGCUACCAGAGAGGAGGUAGGUAGGGGGAUAGGGGAAUUAGAGGAUGGGGAUUAAAGAGCACAUUUAUGAUUAAAAAAAAAAAAAACAACCUCUAAAAGAUAGAUCAAUAAAGACACACAGGGCUUGUCAAAAUUCAAGAGUCUGAUUCUUGUAUUUUUCAUACUAAUUAACAACACCCAGAAAAGCCCUUCUAAGUAUCAUGGACCAGAGGAGAACCAUCCCCCAUAAUGUUUGUGAACUGUGGGCCCUCAUAUGUAUAUGAAUUAACCUAUGAAUUCAGUAGAGGUUUCUUUGGUGCCUAAUGCAUGGGGGAAAAGCAAAUUAUCCUAGAGUCACAGAUUUGCAAAAUUUUAGGAUUAUCAUAUGGAACACUGCAGGAUAAAGAAUACUUAUAGGCACUAGUAAUUCAGAGAAGGGUUGUGAGGAGGGAACAGAAGGGAAGAGCAAAUCCAAGGCAUAUUAUCAACAGAACUGGAUGGAUGAUCAGAGGAAAUGGAAGAGAGAAGACAAUGCCAAUAUUUCUAACCCAGGAGAACAGGAAACAGCAGUAACCGACUAAAAUGGGCAGGUGGAAAGGUGUCCUGUCUAGAGUUGGGGAGAGAGAAAGGAAGGAGUUCCUGCAUGUGUCUUGUGGGACGUAGUGGAAGGACAACUAAAUGAAAAAUGCUGUCAUGGGGACAGAUGACUGAGUGGGUGCCAAGAGCAAGGGAAGCUUGGGGAUUCUAUAGCUCUCACUGGAAACAGUCUAAUUAAGUUCUUGCUCCUGAGUCUUGUCUUGGGAUAUCAUGUCAUGUGGGAAUGCCCACUUCCCUCCUUCUCCUAAUCUAGAUCCAACUAGCCCAAGUCCCUACCACCACACGCAGCCACUUUAUGUGUCUGUGACCACUCAUGUUGCCUUUAGUAAGGCUAUUUUGUGUAGUCAGCUAUUUUCUUCCUAUACAUGUCUGUCUCCUCAAUGAUUCUGUUUGCAUCUUGGGCUUGGUAGUCAUGAUGGUGAUGGAUGCUCUGAGAAUCUGGGAGGGAAGGGGUAUUGAAGAGGUGAUGCCUGAGAGCAUGGGCACCAAUUCUAUCAGUAAGCAACACAUAGAGAGUGCUUGUGUGCCAGGCAUUGUUCUAGGAGCUUUUACAUUUUUAAUCCUGAAAGUCAUCCUAUAACACAGAUUCCAUGGUAUUCCCACCAAAAAUACAUCAUCUAAGCCUAAUCAUGAGGAAAUAUGAGACAAACCAAAAAUGAGCUACAUUCUACAAAAUAAAUGGUCCAUACAGUUUUAAAUGUCAUGAUCGUGAAAAAUAAAAACUGAGGAACUGUUCCAGAUUAAAAAUAUUAAAGAUAGCCUGGGUGGCUCAGCUGUUGAGCGUCUGCCUUCAGCUCAGGUCGUGAUCCUGGAGUUCCGGUAUUGAGUCCUACAUCCGGGUCCCUGCAUGGAGCCUGCUUUUCCUCCCUCUGCCUGUGUCUCUGCCUCUCUCUGUGUCUCUCAUGAAUAAAUAAAUAAAACCUUUAAAGAAUAUAUUAAAGAUAAAUGAUAACUAAAUGCAUUAUUUGAUUCUAAAUUAGAUCCCACACCAGAGGGAAAAAAAUGUUUUUCUUUUGCUGUAAAAAAACAAUGGUAGGGCAUUUGGCCAUUUUCUGAUUAGGUCUAUAAAUUAGAUAAUAGUACAAUAGCAAUAUUCAUGUCCUAAUUUUGACCACUGUGUUCUGAUUAUGUAAGAGAAUAUCAUUAUUUUUAGGCAGUAUACCCUAAAGUAUUUAGGGGUAAAUGUGCAUCAUGACUGCAACUUCCUAAAAUGAUUCAAAACAUAAAAUAAUAAUAAUAAAUAACUUGUCCAAGGGCACACUAAAAGUGGCAGAGCUGGAAUUCCAACCCAGAUUGUCUAGCUUGCCAGGUCUCAGCUUUUAACUACUUUGUCAUCCUGUGUCUUAAAGGAAAAAUGUUUCUCCUUUGCCAGUUCUUCCACUUCACCUCCCUCUCCUGCAGCUCUUCGUGGACAGUUUGUAGGAUGGAAGAGAUCAUCAUCUUUAUCAGUUUCAUAUUCCUUGAGGUCCGCAGGGUGAAUCCAAAGAAUUUAUAUAGAAAAGCCUAGGAGAAGUGAAAGUGCAGGGUCAUGCAUAGCUUGGAAUGGAGUUAAGGUAGCUUGGGGGAUAGCCAUUUCCCAAACUUGUUUGAAACUUCAGCCAGCACCUUCCUCACUGCCCCAUCCUCCACACUGGACCUCCUAUUCUCUGGGAAAAUCCGGAUAAGGCAGUAAUCCUACAGAGCAUGGGCUCAGUAGGCAAAGGAACCACCAUUGCAUCCCUGAAGCUAGAGGUAAGAGAAAGCUGUAUUUCUAAUUUCUCAGCCUUUUAGGAUAUGGAUCAUCCCUUUAGGAACUCACUCUGAUCCCCAUAUUUCUCAUUUCUAGCUAGGAAAUAAGUUCCUUACAUCAGUGUUUUAUAGCUUUCAGAGAACAGAUCUUUCACCUCCUUGGUUAAAUUUAUUCCUAGGUAUUUUAUUUUUCUUGCAAUUGUAAGUGAGAUUAUUUUCUUUUUUUUUA
Molecule: long non-coding RNA, 4961 nt
Organism: Canis lupus familiaris (dog)
Lineage: Eukaryota; Metazoa; Chordata; Mammalia; Carnivora; Canidae
Exons: 5
Source: RefSeq, a predicted model, not a curated record